RNAcentral lists this ribosomal RNA (425 nucleotides) under uncultured bacterium. Its description in RNAcentral is "bacterial SSU rRNA". It matches the Rfam family "Bacterial small subunit ribosomal RNA", at positions 359 to 775 of the family's 1533-position model. The record is from RNAcentral.
GAAUCUUGCGCAAUGGACGAAAGUCUGACGCAGCCACGCCGCGUGAGUGAAGAAGGCCUUCGGGUUGUAAAGCUCUGUCAUUAGGGACGAAAAGCCAUUAGGUGAAUAGCCUAGUGGUCUGACGGUACCUAAGGAGGAAGCACCGGCUAACUCCGUGCCAGCAGCCGCGGUAAUACGGAGGGUGCAAGCGUUGCUCGGAAUUAUUGGGCGUAAAGGGCAGGUAGGUGGUCUUAUUUGUCAGGGGUGAAAGCCUUGGGCUUAACCCAAGAAGUGCCUUUGAAACGGUAAGACUAGAGUCCUGGAGAGGCUAGUGGAAUUCCCGGUGUAGCGGUGAAAUGCGUAGAGAUCGGGAGGAACACCAGAGGCGAAGGCGGCUAGCUGGACAGGAACUGACACUCAACUGCGAAAGCGUGGGGAGCAAACAG